AGUGAACGCUGGCGGUAGGCCUAACACAUGCAAGUCGAACGGCAGCACAGUAAGAGCUUGCUCUUACGGGUGGCGAGUGGCGGACGGGUGAGGAAUACAUCGGAAUCUACUUUUUCGUGGGGGAUAACGUAGGGAAACUUACGCUAAUACCGCAUACGACCUACGGGUGAAAGCAGGGGAUCUUCGGACCUUGCGCGAUUGAAUGAGCCGAUGUCGGAUUAGCUAGUUGGCGGGGUAAAGGCCCACCAAGGCGACGAUCCGUAGCUGGUCUGAGAGGAUGAUUCGCCAAACUGGAACCUAGAACAGGUUCCAGAUCCCACGGGGGGGAGGAGGUGGGAAUUAUGGGAAAAGGGGGGAAACCUGAUCCAGCCCAACCGGGGGGGGGAAAAAGGGCUUCGGGUUGGAAAGCCCUUUUUUUGGGAAAAAAAAAGAGGCAGUUAACAACCCGCUGUUCUGACGGUACCCAAAGAAUAAGCACCGGCUAACUUCGUG
This 492-nucleotide ribosomal RNA is filed under the name uncultured bacterium. RNAcentral's name for it is "partial 16S ribosomal RNA". It matches the Rfam family "Bacterial small subunit ribosomal RNA", at positions 29 to 507 of the family's 1533-position model. The record is from RNAcentral.